UACAAUGUAGUUAAGGAGCUUGCUAGGAAAGGAAGCAAGAGAGUUGCUUACAAAAGAUAUCCCACUGUAUAUAACCUUCUUAGAAAUGAUAAUGACCAGAGAAAAGUAGAAAAAAUGCCAGGAGUCUAUAGAAUCCCAACAGUAAAUAAUACAAAUAAUAGGGAGGAGAUUUAUAUAGGUGUUACCAGAAGACCACUAGAGAUAAGAGUGCAAGACCAUAAGAAAGAUGUAGCUGGGAGAAAGAUGAGCUCAGCACUAGAGAGAAGUGCCUAUGAAAAUGACAUAAGAAUAAAUUGGCAUGAAACCAAAGUCAUUAAAAAGGUAGAGAAGAAGCAUGCUGCC
Molecule: long non-coding RNA, 342 nt
Filed under: Androctonus crassicauda
Lineage: Eukaryota; Metazoa; Arthropoda; Arachnida; Scorpiones; Buthidae
Source: RNAcentral